GGCUGUGUAGCUCAGUUGGCAGAGCAUUCGGUUCAUACCCGGAAGGUCGCCGGUUCAAACCCGGCCGCAGCUACCA
RNAcentral lists this transfer RNA (76 nucleotides) under Erysipelotrichaceae bacterium. Its description in RNAcentral is "tRNA-Met". It matches the Rfam family "tRNA". From Rfam's summary of the family: Transfer RNA (tRNA) molecules are approximately 80 nucleotides in length. Their secondary structure includes four short double-helical elements and three loops (D, anti-codon, and T loops). Lineage: Bacteria; Bacillati; Bacillota; Erysipelotrichia; Erysipelotrichales; Erysipelotrichaceae. The record is from RNAcentral.